This 465-nucleotide ribosomal RNA is filed under the name uncultured bacterium. RNAcentral's name for it is "partial 16S ribosomal RNA". It matches the Rfam family "Bacterial small subunit ribosomal RNA", at positions 28 to 507 of the family's 1533-position model. The record is from RNAcentral.
GACGAACGCUGGCGGCGUGCUUAAUACAUGCAAGUCGAACGGAAAGGCCCCUUUGUGGGUACUCGAGUGGUGAACGGGUGCGUAACACGUGAGUAACCUGCCCUUGACUUCGGGACUACUUCAGGAAACUGGGGCUAAUACCGGAUAGGAAUCCUAGCUGCAUGGUGGUGGUUGGAAAGUUUCGGCGGUUUUGGAUGGACUCGCGGCUUAUCAGCUUGUUGGUGGGGUUGUGGCUUACCAAGGCUUUGACGGGUAGCCGGCCUGAGGGGGCGACCGGCCACAUUGGGACUGAGAUACGGCCCAGACUCCUACGGGAGGCAGCAGUGGGGAAUAUUGAACAAUGAGCGGAAGCCUGAUGCAGCAGCGCCGCGUGCGGGAUGACGGCCUUCGGGUGGUAAACCGCUUUCAGCAGGGACGAAGCUUGUGGUGACGGUACCUGCAGAGGAAGCAACGGCUAACUACGUG